Molecule: small RNA, 573 nt
Filed under: Pan troglodytes (chimpanzee)
Lineage: Eukaryota; Metazoa; Chordata; Mammalia; Primates; Hominidae
Description: processed transcript
Source: RNAcentral
UAGCAACCGGGAGGCUUACCUUUGGAAGCUUGUUGCAGCUCUAGCCACGGUCCUGCCCUCUUCCCGCCCCUCCCCUCCCCUAAACUCCCUUCACCUAGGAGCUGCCAAACAUCUGGAUCAACCUGGGCACUACGAGGGGUUGAAUUUCUACCAUUAUCGCGCCUUUUGAUAUUUUUUUCCAGACCUCCUGCUCACAUCCGUAAAGCCCACUGAUUCUUUUACUACACUUUUUAUGAGAACAAGACAUUUUCUAGGAAGAUGGUGGCAGAAAAAGAGACCCUGAGCUUAAACAAAUGCCCAGACAAGAUGCCGAAGAGGACCAAGCUGCUGGCACAACAGCCGCUCCCGGUGCACCAGCCUCACUCCCUGGUUUCUGAGGGCUUCACAGUCAAAGCCAUGAUGAAAAACUCAGUCGUGAGAGGCCCUCCAGCUGCAGGGGCAUUUAAAGAAAGACCAACCAAGCCCACAGCAUUUCGAAAAUUCUAUGAGCGAGGUGACUUCCCAAUUGCCCUUGAGCAUGAUUCGAAAGGAAACAAAAUCGCCUGGAAGUUGGUGUCUCAGGAUGCCACAUUU